This 985-nucleotide small RNA is filed under the name Rattus norvegicus (Norway rat). Its description in RNAcentral is "uncharacterized LOC103691720". The record is from RNAcentral. Lineage: Eukaryota; Metazoa; Chordata; Mammalia; Rodentia; Muridae.
AAUGUGUUAAGAGGGUCGGUCCAGCUUUAAGAACUAUGGUAAAUUUUUAGCACACCAUUUUCUUUGCUCUGUCUGAAAAUCAAAAGUAUCCAAUAUGAGACUUGCAAUGAAGAAGGGGGAUGCUUUGAACCUGUAUUAGGGUAUUAUGGGUGAGAAUUUAGAACUGAAUAGCAGCAAUGGAUACAGAACAGAGCACACAUCCAGGAGGAUUGCUUACUGAUCUAAAGGUUUUUCUGAAGCAUAUAAAGAGCAGCUGAGGACAGAUAUUUUUCUCGUUACUUGUGAAGAUGUAUAUUAUUCAAAAACACAAGAGAAAAAUCAAAGAAAGAGGAACAUACAUUUCUCUUUUCUUGUACAGAACCAUCACUACUAUGUCAUAGUGCCAGAGACAGCUUGGCAAGUCAUAGGCUAGAAAUGGAAACUCAAAAUGCCUUUUUAGAAACAAGUGUUUUGAAUGAUUCUUCCAUUUUCUGUAAUUGUCACUGGAACUGGAUGAUACUGAGUUGGAGUAGAUUUUCCUUUGGACUGCUAUAAAUGAACAAUCAACACAUGUGCAGGAUAAAGACUUUGCUGACCCACUCCCUGUGCAACUGUUAGAGAAAGACAUAAGUUCUGGUUUGCAAACGGAUUUAAAAGGCACUGGCCCAUGGGUAAUCCUGAUGGAGCACAUUUGUUUUCUGUGCAGAUCCUCUCACCUGUAUAGUUACUAAGCUGGGUACCACUGCCACACGACCACACAUCUGUCUCAGGGUAGGACAGCCUGACCUUCUCCAGAUGCAGUGCUGUUAUCACAGGAGACAGAAUAACAAGGACGGGUAUGCAUCCUGAACAUGAAGCAUAAAGAGUUUGGAGAGUUUUAUCACUUGAAAGAAGAGAACAGAAUCAAUUCCUAAAUAAGGCAAUAAAGACUGUAAUGUUUUCUUUUUAAUUACCUGUCAGAUUUUCUCUUCAGGAUACUGCUUAAAUUACAAAGGAGAGUGUUUGA